RNAcentral lists this ribosomal RNA (1109 nucleotides) under uncultured organism. RNAcentral describes it as "bacterial SSU rRNA". It matches the Rfam family "Bacterial small subunit ribosomal RNA", at positions 47 to 1186 of the family's 1533-position model. The record is from RNAcentral.
CCUAAUACAUGCAAGUCGAACGAGAACCCUUGGAUUCGUCUGGGGGGGAGAGUGGCGAACUGGUGAGUAACACGUGGGUGACCUGCCCCGAAGACGGGGAUAACCGUUGGAAACGACGGCUAAUACCCGAUAUACUCGGUGAUUCGGUUCAUCGAGUAAAGGCUCCGGUGCUUCGGGAUGGGCCUGCGGCCUAUCAGCUAGUUGGUGGGGUAAUGGCCCACCAAGGCGAAGACGGGUAGGGGGCGUGAGAGCGCGGCCCCCCACACUGGCACUGAGAUACGGGCCAGACUUCUACGGAAGGCAGCAGUCGGGGAUAUUGCACAAUCGGCGAAAGCCGGAUGCAGCGACGCCGCGUGGGCGAUGAAGGCCUUCGGGUUGUAAAGCCCUUUUAUGGGGGAAGAGACAAGGACGGUACCCCAAGAAUAAGCGUCGGCUAACUACGUGCCAGCAGCCGCGGUAAAACGUAGGACGCAAGCGUUAUCCGGAUUUACUGGGCGUAAAGAGCGUUGAGGCGGUUCCGUAAGUUGGGCGUGAAAGCCCCGGGCUUAACCCGGGGAGGUCGUUCAAUACUGCGGGACUUGAGGGCAGCAGAGGGAGGCGGAAUUCCCGGUGUAGCGGUGAAAUGCGUAGAUAUCGGGAGGAACACCAGUGGCGAAGGCGGCCUCCUGGGCUGUUUCUGACGCUGAAGGCGAAAGCUAGGGGAGCGAACGGGAUUAGAAACCCCGGUAGUCCUAGCCGUAAACGAUGGAUGCUGGGUGUGGGGGGUAUAGAUCCCCUCCGUGCCGAAGCUAACGCGUUAAGCAUCCCGCCUGGGGAUUACGGCCGCAAGGCUUAAACUCAAACGAAUUGACGGGGGCCCGCACAAGCAGCGGAGCGUGUGGUUUAAUUCGAUGCUACACGAAGAACCUUACCUGGGCUUGACAUGUAGGUAGUAGUGAAGCGAAAGCGGAACGACCCUUCGGGGAGCCUACACAGGUGCUGCAUGGCUGUCGUCAGUUCGUGCCGUGAGGUGUCGGGUUAAGUCCCGUAACGAACGCAACCCUUGCCCUUAGUUACAUGUGUCUAAGGGGACUGCCCGGGACAACUGGGAGGAAGGUGGGGAUGACGUC